GACUUAAGUGGUGCAAUGCAAGCACGCAUGACUCAUAAUCAUGAAGUGCAGGUUGGAAUCCUGCCUAUGAUGUCA
Molecule: transfer RNA, 75 nt
Filed under: Eubacterium sp. AM46-8
Lineage: Bacteria; Bacillati; Bacillota; Clostridia; Eubacteriales; Eubacteriaceae
Description: tRNA-Met
Rfam family: tRNA
About the family: Transfer RNA (tRNA) molecules are approximately 80 nucleotides in length. Their secondary structure includes four short double-helical elements and three loops (D, anti-codon, and T loops). Further hydrogen bonds mediate the characteristic L-shaped molecular structure. tRNAs have two regions of fundamental functional importance: the anti-codon, which is responsible for specific mRNA codon recognition, and the 3' end, to which the tRNAs corresponding amino acid is attached (by aminoacyl-tRNA synthetases). tRNAs cope with the degeneracy of the genetic code in two manners: having more than one tRNA (with a specific anti-codon) for a particular amino acid; and 'wobble' base-pairing, i.e. permitting non-standard base-pairing at the 3rd anti-codon position.
Source: RNAcentral